Molecule: ribosomal RNA, 251 nt
Filed under: uncultured prokaryote
Description: partial 16S rRNA
Rfam family: Bacterial small subunit ribosomal RNA
Source: RNAcentral
ACGUAGGGGGCGAGCGUUGUCCGGAAUCACUGGGCGUAAAGCGCGCGCGGGUGGUUCUGUAAUUGUGGAGGGAAAGAUAGGGGAUCAACCCGUGCAGGUCGGUCGAUACCGCGGGACUGGAGUAUGGGAGAGGAAAGCGGAAUUCCCGGUGUAGCGGUGAAAUGCGUAGAUAUCGGGAGGAACGCCAGUGGCGAAGGCGGCUUUCUGGCCCAUCACUGACACUGAGGCGCGAAAGCCGGGGGAGCGAACGG